Molecule: ribosomal RNA, 253 nt
Filed under: uncultured bacterium
Lineage: Bacteria
Description: partial 16S ribosomal RNA
Rfam family: Bacterial small subunit ribosomal RNA
Source: RNAcentral
UACAGAGGUCCCAAGCGUUGUUCGGAUUCACUGGGCGUAAAGGGUGCGUAGGUGGUCGAGUAAGUCUGAUGUGAAAUCUUCGAGCUCAACCCGAAAAUGGCAUUGGAUACUAUUCGGCUGGAGGGUUGGAAGGGGGACUGGAAUUCCCGGUGUAGCAGUGAAAUGCGUAGAUAUCGAGAGGAACACCGGUGGCGAAGGCGAGUCCCUGGACAAUCCCUGACACUGAGGCACGAAAGCUAGGGGAGCAAACAGG